GCUAUGGUUUUUUUUUCUGGACAAAUUUUUUUUUCUCGCCGCAAUCUAUUUUUUUCGCGACAAGUCGAAAACAAUUUUUUUCUUUCAAUUUUAGCUUUACAUAUAGUGGCAGCUCUGGGUGAAACAAACAAAUUUUUUUUCUCAGAAUCAAAAACAAAUUAUUUUUUUCUCCAAAAACUGGAAACAAACUUUUUUUUCAAA
RNAcentral lists this long non-coding RNA (201 nucleotides) under Mytilus galloprovincialis (Mediterranean mussel). The record is from RNAcentral. Lineage: Eukaryota; Metazoa; Mollusca; Bivalvia; Mytilida; Mytilidae.